GAUGAACGCUAGCUACAGGCUUAACACAUGCAAGUCGAGGGGAAACGGCAUUAAGUGCUUGCACUUUUUGGACGUCGACCGGCGCACGGGUGAGUAACGCGUAUCCAACCUUCCCAUGACUAAGGGAUAACCUGCCGAAAGGCAGACUAAUACCUUAUGGUCUUCACUGACGGCAUCAGAUGUGAAGUUAAGAUUUAUCGGUUAUGGAUGGUGAUGCGUCUGAUUAGCUUGUUGGUGGGGUAACGGCCCACCAAGGCAACGAUCAGUAGGGGUUCUGAGAGGAAGGUCCCCCACAUCGGAACUGAGACACGGUCCAAACUCCUACGGGAGGCAGCAGUGAGGAAUAUUGGGCAAUGGGCGAGAGCCUGAACCAGCCAAGUAGCGUGCAGGAUGACGGCCCUAUGGGUUGUAAACUGCUUUUGUAUGGGGAUAAAGUCAAUCACGCGUGAUUGUUUGCAGGUACCAUACGAAUAAGAACCGGCUAAUUCCGUG
Molecule: ribosomal RNA, 492 nt
Filed under: uncultured bacterium
Lineage: Bacteria
Description: partial 16S ribosomal RNA
Rfam family: Bacterial small subunit ribosomal RNA
Source: RNAcentral